GGCGGCCAUCUCUGUCGGCGCCGGAAGUAGUUCACAAAGAAGACCAGCAAGGGGCCCCUCAUCCAGCCAGAAACCUGCACCUGUCAGCAGCAACAGCAAGGGGCCCCUCAUCCAGCCAGAAACCUGCACCUGUCAGCAGCAACAGCUUUCACAAGCUCAUCAUUUGUACAAAUACAGAAGUAUCUUUGAUGAGGGGUCAGGGGCCGAUCUACGCUGCUAUACCCAUCAAUAGGGCUCUGGCAAAGACCUCACCUCCAGCCUCACCUCGAGGCCGGUCGUCGAUGGGGAGAACAAAAUGUAGAUGCAUGAGAUGCGGAGAGACCUGGCGCUCAACACACCUACUCAACACACCCACUCAACACAUCCACAAUGAGAAACAUGUAUGGAGCCAGCACCUGGAGACUUGCAAGAUGAUGUGAUGAAGUCCAGACUGACAGAUGGUCUCGAUACUGGUGUCUCUGAAUGGAGAGUUACCUAUCACUCUGCAUAUA
This is a long non-coding RNA of Oncorhynchus kisutch (coho salmon), 491 nucleotides long. RefSeq lists it as uncharacterized. The record is from RefSeq and is a predicted model, not a curated record. The transcript is spliced from 4 exons. NCBI's taxonomy places the organism in Eukaryota, Metazoa, Chordata, Actinopteri, Salmoniformes, Salmonidae.